Long non-coding RNA from Lates calcarifer (barramundi perch), 4386 nucleotides. RefSeq lists it as uncharacterized. Lineage: Eukaryota; Metazoa; Chordata; Actinopteri; Centropomidae. The record is from RefSeq and is a predicted model, not a curated record. The transcript has 2 exons.
CUCACUCCUCCUCUGUUGUUAUUUAAGGAAAACUUCAGUGUUUCCCUUUCUGCUCUCUCUCUCUCUCUCUCUCUCUCUCUCUCUCUCUAACUGGGUGUGGUUUUCAAGAGGCAAACUUGUGUGAAUGAUGUGGACGCUCUAUAGUCAUAGCUUUGACUGAGUCCACACCCUUCAGCUAAAAGAAGAGUUUGGAGGAGGUGGAGCAAAACGAUUGGAGCAGGGUUUGAGCUUGGACUUGAGUUUGAGUCUUUUGCAGACAACAAGUACGUACGCUGUGACCUGUGUCGUGUUCGUGCUGCACUCUGUGACUUUUGGAUCUCUUCAGUUUGAGCAUGUAGAGGCAUCAGGGUUUUUUUUCUUUUUCUUUUUUUUAACUGUCUCCACUGAAAGACGUGAGAUGGAGGAAACACAUUAUUUGGUGCAUUCUCAGUGAAGAUGAGGAUCCUGAAACAAGAGAGAUGGGUAAGAGAAGAGGGUGGGAGGGAGGAGGGCAGGGAGAGCUUACUCAUACAGGAAGGAAGUACAGGAAAUGUCCCAUCGGGAAAACAAGUAGCAAUGUAAUUGUGAACCCUGAACUCAUUUACUGUCUGGGUGGUCAUGAAGGGAAAGCACUGAUUUUGUGUGUGUGUGUGUGUGUGUGUGUGUGUGUGUGUGUGUGUGCUACAAGUAAACAUACAGCUACUCAUGUAUUUAGGGAAAAAAAAGACUUUUCUAAAUGGUGCUUGACCACACAGUGCUGCUAACAUUGUUUGUUGUGUGAAUCUUGAGAUUUAAGGAUUUUUAAAAUGCUCAUUCAACAAUAACUACACAAUAUCAAAAACACUGUACAUGUUUAAUCUUUUAAUUAGAUUUAUGUUAAUAAUUAGUUUUUCUUCUCUUUCCUUCCCUCCACCAUUUUCAUUCUAUUUUAUUUCCAUGUCAAUUAUAUGAUCUUGAAUAUUGUAACUUCUUAUUUUGCUUUAAUGUUUAAAUCUUAUGAACCACUUUACUUCAUGUUAUAAAAGUCCUACAGCAAUAAACAUUCAAAGGCAACACAGCAGCAUCUUUUGUAACUGGGUGAAUCAACCCUAUAAAUUGAAUCUUAAAGGCCCCUUCAUUUGAUUUUUGUAUUAAACUGUGACAGAAAGUACAGCUCAAUAAUUCAAAUGAGUAAAAAAAGAGUAUGGCACAUAUCAGUGUUAUCUGUUUACUUUAACAUCCAGACUUCCUGUGGAGAGCAUACCUGUUGUUUGCUUCCCCUUGUGGUGAUAACAGGUUGGUGCAGGUUCCUGGGCUCAACCUCCUGUGCCUACUGAGCUGAUUACAGUUAGAUGUAAUACAAGCACUGGCUCAGUUCAGCAGGAACCGGAGUUAGGCCCUUUAGAAACAACGGCGAAUCGGCAUUCAACUGGAACUAAUCUCCUGUCCAAUUAAAAUACCAGAGUAUAUGUACAAUUAUAAUCUAUAUGUGUAAUCAGUGUUUGCCGUGUAUAUUGUGAUAUAUGUGUAGCAGUGCUGUGUAAGUGUUUUCUCCUACUGAAGCCAUCAUUAUUUCUUUACUGCUCUGAAAGGCAAUUAGACUUUUUCUUCCACAAAGCCUCUCAGAGUAACAGCCAAAGCGUAAUCAUCCUUAAUCAGAGCCGAGGAAGCACAGAACUCACAUAAAUGUACCCACACACAUCCUCUCUGAAUUUAAAGCUUUCACUGUAAAGCUCAUGAUGGAGGAAAUCUGCUUCUGUUGGUUUGGUAUUACUAAAAGAUCACAGGAGCAGAGUUUUUCCAGUUGUAUUCUCCACAUCAAGCUAAGCAAAGGUUCCCGGGAAACUCCUUUGGGUGCGAUUUAAGUGUCGCAGUUCAUUCCAGUAACUCUUUGAGGUGCCUUCAUUCAGUUCCUUCUGGUGCUUCUAGCAACAUACGUCAGCCACGACCUUGAAUAUGAUCUAAUGAGAAUAUUAGUUUAAGGUUAAAACUACUUAGAAAAUAGAUUGUUGCAGAUGAAUUAUGUUCAUGAAACAGUUCUUAACCCUCCCGUUGCCCUUUGUAUUGCCCUUCGUAUUCUGUAUACUGUUUCCUUCUUACUAUUAUUCAAAAACAGAAGAUAACCGCUUCAGAAUUACAAAUUUCAUGCACAACAACAAAUCCUACUACACACACACACACACACACACACACACACACACACACACACACACACACACAAAGGCACAUUGUCGGCCACUAGGUCACUUUGACCCAGAGGACAACACGAGGGUUAAACAUUACUACUGUUUACUUAUAACCAGUGGUGCAAAUUAACUACUGUAAGUACAUGUACUUCUGAGAAUACUUCUUGUAAUACUUCUAACUUCUGACUUCUAAUGCUGCUAAUUUGUUUUUGCAUUGUUGUACCAGUGCUUUUAUUUAAGGAUCUUAACACAUCUUCCACCAGUGCUUAUAAAUGCUACUGUUUUGCCACUUAAGUGUACAUCAUUGAUUAUCCACUCACUGAGCACUUCAAGGGUUAAUUUAACUGAAAUCCUCUUGAGUUUUUCUAGUAUUUGAACAUCACUCAAGAUGGUGACGGGAGAUUCCUUCAGGGGGAAGUGCUGAGGGGAAGUCGGUGUGGGUUUGUACUGGAACACACAUAUGCAGCGGGUUACUUCUGCUGGGGACGAGGACAAGGCUGUCAAACCAAACGCAAAAAAAUGCUGAGUCACUGACACAUUUUUUCAGCGCAUUCCUGUUUUACUCGCAUAAGUAGAUGAUACACACACCAUGUGCAGCAUGAGUUGUAGUCAGAGAGACAGCGACCAGGGGCUUUCUGUUAGCAGGAGAAAGAUCUUUUUUUCCUCCCAAAUGUACAGUACAUAUAUUUCUUAAAACUGUUUGUUACUCUCACAUUAAGUGGGGAUAUCUAAUGAUGGAUGACAUGAUUAAAAUGAGCCACAUUGUGCUUCUGAAAUUCAAUUCUGAAAUUGAAUGUAUAGGUCAAUCACUACAGCAUAUAUGCCAGGUGGGUGUUACGUCUCAGCUGAAGGACAUAAUUAUUUUAGAGCUAAAACAAUCAGAUGACUGAUUAAUUAAUAGACAAUAAUACUAAUAAUUAAUUAAUUAACUGAUUUUUUCCAUGUUUUUUCCAGUUAAAGGCUUUUUUAGAGAGUUUAUCUUCAUCUGAUUCGAUUGAAAGCAAACAUAAGCUCUUGGACAAGAAAUGUGUCCUUUUUUGACUGCUGUUGCUGCUUAAUGAGAAAAGUGCAGCUGAUCCAACAAGUCCUCUGAAUUGCAAAUGUAAUACACAUACACUGUCACUGUUAGACUGCGUUUUUGAAAGUUAAUUUUAGUUUCCUAUCACUUUUUUUUUUAAAUAACUCUGCCUCUGAAGAUGUAAGAAGUCAAAUCUGGAAGAUAAAGUUCAGCCUUGACGUGGCCGAAAAAAAAAGUCUGAAUAUUCAGUAACUGGUGGUACAUUUCAUUUCUACUCAAACCACAUCUAAUCUACUUGGAAAAAGUGCUUUAGUCUUAUGUAAGUAGGAUAUUUUCAGCUGGAUUUGUCUCUGCCUUCUUCACACCUUCAUUGUCUGCUGCAAGCAUAUAACAAUAAAGCACAAAAAUUAGAUACUAAGAUCUGUUUAUCAUUUAUAAAAUGAAUCAUUAUGUAAGAGCUUCUUUGGACACAGCAGUUAGUGAUAGAGACUGCACCUCGUUCAAUAAAUCCUGUACUGUAGCUCAGUGCUUAGACAAAGAUUUCAUUCACCAAUUUGCUGCAUAUUGUAUUCGAACAAUAAUCAGUAAUAAUCAGUAACUAUGAGUUAUGUUGGGGAAAAAUUUGAUUUGGGGGAUGGAAACAUAAUAAAAGUGACAUUAAAGAAAUGCAAUGUUUGAAAGCUGUGAUUUUGCUCCUGCAAAAGAUAGAGGAUAUGAGAGAUUUGUUUUUAGGUCCUCAUCCUUGUUCUUUCUCUCUGUCUGGAUUCUGCAGCCAUGAGUCAUGUACCUGUCUUUGUCACAUGGCCUGUUGUAUCAGCACACAAAAGCUCCAGGUUAAUGUGCGCACAACACACCUGCAUUCACACAAACACCACUCUUACAUAACCCUCAGUUUUUCACAGAUAGCAUGAGCCCACUCCGACAGGCUGAGACAGUCCUGCGAUUCAUGACAGCUACACUGAGUACAGGCUGCAGUCUCACUCUGACUUUUUAAAAAUCACAAAAUUAAUACAUAAUCGGUGUGACUUUUUCUACAUAUUGAAAGUAAGACAGCUGUAAUGUUAUUCUGAAGGAGAAGCCAGUUUGCGUGACAACAGAUCAUCUUCCCUAUGUGAGAGAAACCACAGCAACAGCUGUGCGCGCGUGUAUGUCUGCAAAUGUGCGUUUGUGUGCAUUUGUUGAGAGAAACUGGUGUUCAAUAUGAAAAUAAAUCAUUUAAAAGUG